RNAcentral lists this long non-coding RNA (509 nucleotides) under Cricetulus griseus (Chinese hamster). Its description in RNAcentral is "lncRNA (ENSCGRG00015031587.1)". Lineage: Eukaryota; Metazoa; Chordata; Mammalia; Rodentia; Cricetidae. The record is from RNAcentral.
CUCAGAUCCUCUGGAAGAGCAGCAAAAACUCUUGUUUUUGAGACAAAAAUCUCCCUAUGGAACCCGGGAUGACAUUGAACCUGUGCCCACCCCCUGCCACUGGUGUGUUUGUGCUUCUGUCAUCCUGACCAGUAGCUCUGUCACCACCAUGGAACCACCCUAGCAGUAGUGGCCACUGUCACUUGCAUGUUGGGCAUACCCGUUACUGAAGGAGGAAAAAUACACAUGUAUCCAGGUAAAUGUGUACAAGAGAACCUGUGGUAAAUGGGAGGUGUAAAGGGGACAGGCAAAAUGGCAAAAUGCCAAGAAGCAUGAAGGAGAGAGGAGUCUGACCCAGGAGAAAGACGUGAGGGUCUUGAACACUUCCUGGAGGACACGACAUCUCAGACCUUCGGGCUCCAGGAACUGUGCACCUCUGAGUUCUGAACACAUCACCAGUCAAUCACUAUGCAGCAAAGAUAAUGUGUUGAUCUUCUGGAAAGAGAUGCUUAUGGGCUCCAACAAAAGGG